RNAcentral lists this unclassified non-coding RNA (487 nucleotides) under Hevea brasiliensis (rubber tree). The record is from RNAcentral. Lineage: Eukaryota; Viridiplantae; Streptophyta; Magnoliopsida; Malpighiales; Euphorbiaceae.
GUCCGUCCGUUUCCCUACCAAAGAGUCGUAGUAUGACUGGGCAGCAACCUUACUGAUUUCCACGUUCGUUUCCUCAGGGCAGUACUCAUCAUCCAGCCAUUUGUGCAGCGUCACCCUAAGCCACUCUGAUUCCUGGAGAGCCUUGGAAGGGAGCAACCAAUUGUCGGGAACACGUAGGUCUUGAACUUGCGCUUCGGGGUCAUCUUUAUCGUCUUCUUGGCUGCUUUGUGGAUGUGAAGGAGACUGAUAUCUGAAAAUGGUGGUCGAAAAUUGGGGUUGUUUGGGAGGCCGAAUCGGUUUUGAAUUAGAGGUGACAGGGAAAUGAAGCUCAACUAUAACAAUUGGGGGACUAAGACGGGUAAUUGAGGAAGGCAAGAUAAGAUUGUGGCAUUUUGAGGUUGAUAGUCGGCAUAGGUUCAUGGUUUCGAAUUUUAUUAUCCUUUGGCGGUGGCGGGAAGGCGAAAUGAGAGCAUUCAGUAUUCCAAAU